This 90-nucleotide microRNA precursor is filed under the name Bos taurus (domestic cattle). Its description in RNAcentral is "microRNA bta-mir-11988 precursor". Lineage: Eukaryota; Metazoa; Chordata; Mammalia; Artiodactyla; Bovidae. The record is from miRBase by way of RNAcentral.
UUCCUCCCGCCCCCCCCCCUUUUUAGCAGCUCCCCGAGGCAUGUGGAAUCUUAGUGCCUGACUAGGGAAAGGGGACGACAGAGGAUGAGA